AUUCAGCUAAGGACGAAGGCACUUUAUUUGAAAAACUUGGGUCUGCGUUAAAAAAAAAAAGACUAAUAAGUAUCAUUUUUCUAGAAAGCAAUGCAGGAGGAUUUAUCGAAUGCUUAUUUGGGAAAUUCGAAGUUUGUCGGUAAAGGAGACCUUGUAGCCGUACUCACGUUCGACGCGUGUAAAUCGAAGACUGUGAUGAUGUCACACGAUGUGUCUUGGCCCGAAUCUGCGGAAGAUCGGCGGUAAAUUCGCGAGCUCCUCCGAAAAUUGCAGACUUCGCUUGAUUUCGUGAAAUUCUGGAGGGACUGGGGUACGGGCAUCGAUUUAUCACUUCACUUGUGCAGUAACAAGGAAUGAAACCUACACAAAGACAGAGGACAACUCUCAUGUCUCCCACAUCCUCUCAUCCCUGCCCUCAAUUCCCACGCUGAAGCAGCAUGCCUGCUGGGAAAUUUCCAGAUCAGGACCCCAGCUAGGUUUCGGAAUACUUGCGGAUCCUGCAUGUAGGGAAACGUAGCGGGAAAGCCGAAACGGACCGGUUCUCAUGCUGACCUUGGGCAACUGUGUGAUGGAAGGAGCCGGGAUGAGUUAGCCAGGCCUGUUCACGUACAGUCCAUGUGUUUCUGUCAUCAUGGGUAUCAGGUUUGCGAGCUUCCCUCCUCCUCCUCCUGUGCCUUCGAGUGCCGUACCACUAAAUACUGCGAACACCACAGAAUCAUCAGUGGAGAGCAACAGGACAAGUAGAAGGAGAGGGAUUCGAGACUUCACUCAAAGCCAGAACAAAGAGCUCAGAGUCGAGUCAUGGCUCUGAGAAGGAAGCCAGAUUGAAUAUUUCACAUUUCAUCUUUCUGAGUGCUUUGACCUUUAAAAAGACCUCAAACAAUAAGGCAAAGUUUCCCGCCUUCCUUCACCUGUUGCUAAGGCUUUCUCAACACCGAACCACUUAACCGGACUUAAUAAUGACACAGUGAAACCUGUUGCUGUCCAUAGAAAACCAAUAAUAAAAACUCCCUGGCCACUUUUGUGCAAUCCUCCAACUUUAAUUGACCUGCACGUUUCUCCACAAGCCUCUCCCAUAAAAGUCAUCCAGUGGAAAAUACCUCAUACGCAGAAUCGGCACAGAAACCGGGCUUUCCGCAUUGUAAUAGCUGAACACCCAAACCGCAAGGCAAGCAUGCCUUUUUUAAUUUUUUUUAUUCUCCAGCACAGGACCCAUCAUAUUCACAUUGCUCCUUUCUUCUCAUUUCAUCUGUGUCAAAUUCCAUAACGAAAUCCAUCCAUUUCUUCAUUUAUUUGUUUCCUAUAUACGACUUCCAUGAUGACGUUACAUACUUGUG
This is a long non-coding RNA of Ictalurus punctatus (channel catfish), 1337 nucleotides long. Lineage: Eukaryota; Metazoa; Chordata; Actinopteri; Siluriformes; Ictaluridae. The record is from Ensembl.